UGGGUGUAUAUAUGGGGUGUAUGUGUAUAUAUAUGGGUGUAGAUACGUGUAUGUGUGUGUGUAUAUAUAUAUAUGGGCGUAUAUAUGGGGUGUGUGUGUAUAUAUAUGGGUGUAGAUACGUGUGUGUAUAUAUAUGGGGAUAUAUAUAUAAAUAUAUAUAUGGGGUGUGUGUGUGUAUAUAUAUAUAUAUAUAUGGGUGUGCGUGUAUAUACAUGUGUGUGUAUAUGUGUGUAUAUGUGUGUAUGUAUAUGUAUAUAUGGGUGUGUGUGUGUAUGUGUGUAUAUGUGUGUGUGUAUGUGUAUAUAUAUAUAUAUGUGUGUGUGUGUAUAUAUUUAUGGCUGUAGUAUGUUGUCAGUGACGCGAUCGAAGGCCCUGCACGUUUGGAGGGGCGCUAAGCGCUGCCAGGCAGCUCGGGGCCGUCCCGUGAGCUCUUGGGGAAGCUGCGUUUUUAGAGCAGAGCCCGUCAGCCUAACGUCGCUGCCAGAGCUCAGACCGGAGCAGUGUCGGAAGCGUUAGAGCUGUAGGAAAAAGGGACUGUAGAGACUUUUACACUCACGCCUUUACCAUCUUGCUCCUUACACACUGCAGGUUUUGCACAGCGGCUCUGGAGUACCGUGACGGCUGUGCCUGCAUCUGCCUGUCGCCACCUUCCAGCGUGACUUCUCGGGACUUCGAAACUGGCAGCGCGUGUGCAUAAAGGACCGAGGUUGGACAAGAGCCUGCCCUCGUCUGGACUCGUCCCACAUCUGACUGUAGACCAUAGUCUAUGGAAGAAACGAGGCGGCCUGCAGGUACGGUAGUCACCGCGCCAGGACGUAGCGGUGCUACUGCCCGCAAGUGCAGCCAGAGGUUCUUCCUCCAUUCACACGUGGAAGAAGCGGUGUGUUAAACCCACCAUAGCGAAGGUGUAGAGGCACCUGCUGAAGGAUGUGGCUAUGGUAGAGGGGAAGCGUAAGAUGGAGACCCUUGCAUACGGGAUGUCACUCCGCCGCUGUCAUCACAGAAGGCCCAUCUGCAUUUUAGAGUUGCCCUUGGAGCUGGAGCUGUCACCUGGAAACCAGACGCGCGGUGCAACGUGUAAGGAGCAACGCGAUGGGAAAGGGUUCACGUGCAAGAUCUAUGGCUGUAGCUGCAUCCAGAGCACCAAGAGGAAAAAUGCAGCCGGGUGUCCUAAUGAGGGGACAGGUGUGACCCGGUCUAAUUGUGCAGGAUUGUAUUAUACUAUGUGUGUAUGCUCGUAUGGAAGGUGUUUAAGACGUGCCUCUGUCUUAGAAGUCCUUAGUGUAGCUCAGCGUUGGAGCACAACUUCCAUUAAAGAAGCAGACGUAGAAGGUUUAUGAAGUUUUAUUGAGAGCUUUGCACCAGCCCCGCCAUUGUGCUCGGCGUAACCAACACCAGCGAUGUAACUGAGCCCGGAGCAGGAACUGCUUUACAGACAGCGUCGUUCAUAUUCUGGUUGCUUACAGAAGGAAAGCAGCUUUGAUAGAGUCGGAGAAGACCCGGGCUUCUUGGCACCUUUUGUGGCUCAGAGAUGUCCGUAGGAAGCGAGCGUUGCUGUAGGAGAAAAUGGAGGGUAAUUUAGAAAUGUGUUUGUUCACUUCUGGAGUUCUUGUAUAAAACCUAUUAAGUUCUAGAAAGUGUAUAUCUGUGCCUUAUUGAGCUUAUACACAGUUUUGCAUAUAAAAGUUAGAAGUGUAUAUCUUUUCUAUGCAACUUUUACAAGAACUUAUACACUUUUUAAAAGUUACUAUAUAUAUUAUGUAACUUUUAGGUUUGUUUAAAGUUGAAAGAAAUACAGAUAUUAAGUUACACACUUUAUACAGAGAAGUUUAUAUGCAUAAAGUUUAAGAGUUCUACCUUAUAUAUACUUUCACAUAUAAAGUUCUAAAGGUUAUAAAGUUCUGAUUUAUAUAGUGUAAAAUAAAUAAAGCAAAGAACUUAGAAGUUCUUUAUAUGUUUCCAGUGUAAAUGUUAUUAAUUUAUACACUUUAUAAACCUAGGUGUUUCUAAAGUUGUAAAUAAAUAAAACCUAAAAGUAAGAAGGCCUAAGUGAUGAAGUUAUUUAUAUAUAAAUAAACUUACAAAGUGUAUCUAUACUUUAUAAAGUUCUAAGUUCAUAAGGAAGUUCUGAAGUUCAAAAGAGGAAGAUGGUCUAUGUUCUAAAGUGUAUAUAUACAAACCUAUGUAUGCUUUUAAGAGUGAGUGUAUGCUUCAAAUAUAUAUAUUUAAACUUUUUUAAAAAGUUUAAAGGUACACCUUUAUAUAAAGUGUAUAUGUACACUUUCCAAUUUAUAAAGAAAUAAACUUAGCAUUAUAAACCCAGAACUUAUAUAAAAGUUAAAAGUUCUGAAGAUAUACACUUUUAUAUACACGAGUCUAUAGAUUGGGAUAAACUCAAUAACUAAAAUUAUAAACCUAAAACUAGAAGUAACAAGCUAUAAAGUUCUGGAAAGUGUAUAUCUUUAUAGUGUAGCCUACUACAAAGCUUUAUCACUUCUAACCUGUAAAUUAUGAACUUUACAACUUUUAUAAAAAGUUCUAAGUUUACACUUAAUAAGUCCAAGAGUUCUAACUUACCAAGGUCGAUACCUUGAGAAGCUGUAGAAUUUGUGCAGGUUUUAAGCCUCUAAAGUUCUAACUUAGAACUCUUUUUAUAAAGAACUUGGGUUUACCUGAAGUUAUAAACCUAAAAGCGUAUACAGUUAUAAAAAUAUAUAUGGAGAUAUAUAUAUAUAUAUAUAAUUUAGAACUUUUAUAUAAGUUCUGGGUAAGUAAGGAGGGCUCGAGUUCUUCUGACUUCACCAGGUUGAAGUUCUCUAAUUGGAUGUUAGUAAGCUACAGUUCUUAAUAAAGUCCAUAACUUCAGAGUUUGCACCUA
Dromaius novaehollandiae (emu) is the source of this 2878-nucleotide long non-coding RNA. RefSeq lists it as uncharacterized. The record is from RefSeq and is a predicted model, not a curated record. Lineage: Eukaryota; Metazoa; Chordata; Aves; Casuariiformes; Dromaiidae. The transcript is spliced from 2 exons.